GAUGAACGCUGGCGGCGUGCCUAAUACAUGCAAGUCGAGCGAACAGACGAGGAGCUUGCUCCUCUGACGUUAGCGGCGGACGGGUGAGUAACACGUGGAUAACCUACCUAUAAGACUGGGAUAACUUCGGGAAACCGGAGCUAAUACCGGAUAAUAUAUUGAACCGCAUGGUUCAAUAGUGAAAGACGGUUUUGCUGUCACUUAUAGAUGGAUCCGCGCCGCAUUAGCUAGUUGGUAAGGUAACGGCUUACCAAGGCAACGAUGCGUAGCCGACCUGAGAGGGUGAUCGGCCACAUUGGAACUGAGACACGGUCCAGACUCCUACGGGAGGCAGCAGUAGGGAAUCUUCCGCAAUGGGCGAAAGCCUGACGGAGCAACGCCGCGUGAGUGAUGAAGGUCUUCGGAUCGUAAAACUCUGUUAUUAGGGAAGAACAAAUGUGUAAGUAACUAUGCACGUCUUGACGGUACCUAAUCAGAAAGCCACGGCUAGCUACGUG
Molecule: ribosomal RNA, 497 nt
Filed under: uncultured bacterium
Lineage: Bacteria
Description: partial 16S ribosomal RNA
Rfam family: Bacterial small subunit ribosomal RNA
Source: RNAcentral